AGAGAACAGAGAAGGGAAGUUCACGUGAUGUAUUCUUAGAAUGUACUCUACGUUAGAGAAGCUGCUCUGAAAAUGUGCUCCUGGCCCUACAUGAAUUGUGACCUGGAGAAGAGGAAGCUUGAGCCCAUCAGGGCAUGGAUAUUUCGCUCUCUUUCUCCACCAUGGAACAGCUUAAAUGAUUUCCCUUGAUAUCAAACAUAGAUUAGUCAGAUGUGAGAACAAAGAAGAGACCUUCUGGCUAACUGCAAGUAGCCCAUGUCCUGGUGUCGAGUGUUUAUCUGGACCAUUCAAAGUGUGUCAAGAGCUUUGCUGUGCUGCACCACUUCCAUCAUG
Non-coding RNA from Zonotrichia albicollis (white-throated sparrow), 333 nucleotides. Lineage: Eukaryota; Metazoa; Chordata; Aves; Passeriformes; Passerellidae. The record is from RefSeq and is a predicted model, not a curated record.